UACGUAGGGUGCAAGCGUUAAUCGGAAUUACUGGGCGUAAAGCGUGCGCAGGCGGUUAUGUAAGACAGAUGUGAAAUGCCCGGGCUUAACCUGGGAACUGCAUUUGUGACUGCAUGGCUAGAGUUUGGCAGAGGGGGGUAGAAUUCCACGUGUAGCAGUGAAAUGCGUAGAUAUGUGGAGGAACACCGAUGGCGAAGGCAGCCCCCUGGGUUAACACUGACGCUCAGGCACGAAAGCGUGGGGAGCAAACAGG
This 253-nucleotide ribosomal RNA is filed under the name uncultured bacterium. RNAcentral's name for it is "partial 16S ribosomal RNA". It matches the Rfam family "Bacterial small subunit ribosomal RNA", at positions 524 to 776 of the family's 1533-position model. The record is from RNAcentral.